UUGGCAAAAUUUUGGUUUUUGUUUUCACAACUCUGCCUCAGGUGGUGAGCAUGGCUGGAGCCAUCUUUCCUGGAUGAACACAAAUGUGGCCAUCUUUUCCAGAAUCAUGGAACAAAUGCAGUUUGUGAACCAAGGUUGCACUGUAUGUGUAUCUGGCUGGUUUUCCCUUGAUAAGUCUGCCAGCUCUGAGACAUUUUGA
Molecule: long non-coding RNA, 199 nt
Filed under: Fukomys damarensis (Damara mole-rat)
Lineage: Eukaryota; Metazoa; Chordata; Mammalia; Rodentia; Bathyergidae
Description: lncRNA (ENSFDAG00000025242.1)
Source: RNAcentral